AGCGAACGCUGGCGGCAGGCCUAACACAUGCAAGUCGAACGAACUCUUCGGAGUUAGUGGCGGACGGGUGAGUAACACGUGGGAACGUGCCUUUAGGUUCGGAACAACUCAGGGAAACUUGUGCUAAUACCGAAUGUGCCCUUCGGGGGAAAGAUUUAUCGCCUUUAGAGCGGCCCGCGUCUGAUUAGCUAGUUGGUGAGGUAAAGGCUCACCAAGGCGACGAUCAGUAGCUGGUCUGAGAGGAUGAUCAGCCACAUUGGGACUGAGACACGGCCCAAACUCCUACGGGAGGCAGCAGUGGGGAAUCUUGCGCAAUGGGCGAAAGCCUGACGCAGCCAUGCCGCGUGAAUGAUGAAGGUCUUAGGAUUGUAAAAUUCUUUCACCGGGGACGAUAAUGACGGUACCCGGAGAAGAAGCCCCGGCUAACUUCGUUCCAGCCUCCGCAGUAA
This 449-nucleotide ribosomal RNA is filed under the name uncultured bacterium. RNAcentral's name for it is "partial 16S ribosomal RNA". It matches the Rfam family "Bacterial small subunit ribosomal RNA", at positions 29 to 523 of the family's 1533-position model. The record is from RNAcentral.